RNAcentral lists this ribosomal RNA (458 nucleotides) under uncultured bacterium. RNAcentral describes it as "SSU rRNA". It matches the Rfam family "Bacterial small subunit ribosomal RNA", at positions 26 to 518 of the family's 1533-position model. The record is from RNAcentral.
AGAAUCAACGCUGGCGGCGUGCCUAACACAUGCAAGUCGCACGAGAAAGGGGAGCAAUCCCUGAGUACAGUGGCGCACGGGUGAGUAACACGUGAAUAAUCUACCUCCGAGUGGGGAAUAACUGAGAGAAAUCUUAGCUAAUACCGCAUAACACUUACGAGUCAAAGCAGCAAUGCGCUUGGAGAGGAGUUCGCGGCCGAUUAGUUAGUUGGCGGGGUAAUGGCCACCAAGACGAUGAUCGGUAUCCGGCCUGAGAGGGCGCACGGACACACUGGAACUGAAACACGGUCCAGACUCCUACGGGAGGCAGCAGUGGGGAAUUUUGCGCAAUGGGGGAAACCCUGACGCAGCAACGCCGCGUGGAGGAUGAAGCCCCUUGGGGUGUAAACUCCUUUCGAUCGGGAAGAUAAUGACGGUACCGAUAUAAGAAGCCCGGCUAACUUCGCGCCAGCAGCCGC